RNAcentral lists this transfer RNA (86 nucleotides) under Candidatus Omnitrophota bacterium. RNAcentral describes it as "tRNA-Ser". It matches the Rfam family "tRNA". Rfam says of the family: Transfer RNA (tRNA) molecules are approximately 80 nucleotides in length. Their secondary structure includes four short double-helical elements and three loops (D, anti-codon, and T loops). Lineage: Bacteria; Pseudomonadati; Candidatus Omnitrophota. The record is from RNAcentral.
GGAGAGGUCGCAUAGCCCGGUUUAGUGCGCGCGCUUGGAGAGCGCGUGACCCAAAAGGUCCCAGGGUUCAAAUCCCUGCCUCUCCG